Molecule: ribosomal RNA, 254 nt
Filed under: uncultured bacterium
Lineage: Bacteria
Description: partial 16S ribosomal RNA
Rfam family: Bacterial small subunit ribosomal RNA
Source: RNAcentral
UACGUAGGGCGCAAGCGUUAUCCGGAAUUAUUGGGCGUAAAGAGCUCGUAGGUGGUUUGUCGCGUUGUUCGUGAAAACUCACAGCUCAACUGUGGGCGUGCGGGCGAUACGGGCAGACUAGAGUACUGCAGGGGAGACUGGAAUUCCUGGUGUAGCGGUAGGAAUGCGCAGAUAUCAGGAAGAACACCUAUGGCGAAGGCGGGUCUCUGGGCCGUAACUGACGCUGAGGAGCGAAAGCGUGGGGAGCGAACAGG